CUCGGAAGAGCUCAGGAGCUGCUGCU
RNAcentral lists this non-coding RNA (26 nucleotides) under Cricetulus griseus (Chinese hamster). The record is from RNAcentral. Lineage: Eukaryota; Metazoa; Chordata; Mammalia; Rodentia; Cricetidae.